Molecule: ribosomal RNA, 1540 nt
Filed under: metagenome
Description: bacterial SSU rRNA
Rfam family: Bacterial small subunit ribosomal RNA
Source: RNAcentral
AGAGUUUGAUUCUGGCUCAGAACGAACGCUGGCAGCGUGGAUUAGGCAUGCAAGUCGAACGGGAAUCUUCGGAUUCAAUCUUUCGGGAGAGAAACCGGGGAGGAGAGUGGCGAAAGGGUGAGUAACGCGUGGAUAACCUGCCUCUUAGCUGGGGAUAACUGACCGAAAGGGCAGCUAAUACCGAAUGUGGUCAGGAUUUCAUCAAGGUAUCCUGAUUAAAGGUGGGGACCCUUCGGGGCCUGCCGCUAGGAGAGGGGUCCGCGUGCCAUCAGCUUGUUGGUGAGGUAAUGGCUCACCAAGGCUUACGGCUAGCUGGUCUGAGAGGAUGAUCAGCCACACUGGACUGAGACACUGCCCAGACUCCUACGGGAGGCUGCAGUCGAGGAUCGUUCGCAAUGCGCGAAAGCGUGACGAUGCGACGCUGCGUGGAGGAUGAAGGCCUUCGGGUUGUAAACUCCUGUCAUUCGGGAAAAACGAGCGGUCCGUUAAUAGCGGUCCGCAGUGAUGGUACCGGAAGAGGAAGCCACGGCUAACUCUGUGCCAGCAGCCGCGGUAAUACAGAGGUGGCAAGCGUUGUUCGGAUUUACUGGGCGUAAAGCGUGCGUAGGUGGUUUCGUAUGUCGGAUGUGAAAUCCCACGGCUCAACCGUGGAACUGCAUUCGAAACUGCGGGACUUGAGUGCAGGAGGGGAGAGCGGAAUUCUCGGUGUAGCGGUGAAAUGCGUUGAUAUCGAGAAGAACACCGGUGGCGAAGGCGGCUCUCUGGAAUGCAACUGACGCUGAGGCACGAAAGCUGGGGGAGCAAACAGGAUUAGAUACCCUGGUAGUCCCAGCCGUAAACGGUGUCGACUUGGUGUUGGAGGAUUUGACCCCUUCAGUGCCGGAGCUAACGCGUUAAGUCGACCGCCUGGGGAGUACGGCCGCAAGGCUAAAACUCAAAGAAAUUGACGGGGGCCCGCACAAGCGGAGGAGCAUGUGGCUUAAUUCGAUGCAACGCGAAGAACCUUACCUGGGCUUGACAUGUAACUGCAAGCUCCCCGAAAGGGGAGAAGCCUUCGAGGGUGUUACACAGGUGCUGCAUGGCUGUCGUCAGUUCGUGCCGUGAGGUGUUGGGUUAAGUCCCGCAACGAACGCAACCCCUGUGUUUAGUUGCUACCGGCGGUGAUGAGCCGCCGGGCACUCUAGACAGACUGCCUGUACAAGCAGGAGGAAGGUGGGGACGACGUCAAGUCAGUAUGGCCCUUACGCCCAGGGCUGCACACGUGCUACAAUGGCCGGUACAGAGGGCUGCAAUACCGCGAGGUGGAGCUAAUCCCCAAAACCGGCCCCAGUUCGGAUUGGAGUCUGCAACUCGACUCCAUGAAGUCGGAUUCGCUAGUAAUGGCGCAUCAGCUACGGCGCCGUGAAUACGUUCCCGGGCCUUGUACACACCGCCCGUCACAUCAUGAAAGCCGUCUGUACCCGAAGUCACUGAGCUAACCCGCAAGGGAGGCAGGUGCCGAAGGAAUGGGUGGUGAUUGGGAUGAAGUCGUAACAAGGUA